Molecule: ribosomal RNA, 326 nt
Filed under: uncultured Cenococcum
Lineage: Eukaryota; Fungi; Ascomycota; Dothideomycetes; Gloniales; Gloniaceae
Description: eukaryotic LSU rRNA
Rfam family: Eukaryotic large subunit ribosomal RNA
Source: RNAcentral
UUGACCUCGGAUCAGGCAGGGAUACCCGCUGAACUUAAGCAUAUCAAUAAGCGGAGGAAAAGAAACCAACAGGGAUUGCCUCAGUAACGGCGAGUGAAGCGGCAACAGCUCAAAUUUGAAAUCUGGCUCUUUUAGGGUCCGAGUUGUAAUUUGUAGAGGAUGCUUCGGCGUCGGCUCCGGUCUAAGUUCCUUGGAACAGGACGUCAUAGAGGGUGAGAAUCCCGUAUGUGAUCGGUUGCCUUGCCAUGUGAAGCUCCUUCGACGAGUCGAGUUGUUGGGAUGCAGCUCUAAAUGGAGGUAAAUUUCUUCUAAGCUAAUACUGGCCA